This is a long non-coding RNA of Mycetomoellerius zeteki, 668 nucleotides long. RefSeq lists it as uncharacterized. The record is from RefSeq and is a predicted model, not a curated record. NCBI's taxonomy places the organism in Eukaryota, Metazoa, Arthropoda, Insecta, Hymenoptera, Formicidae. The transcript is spliced from 3 exons.
GAGUGAGUGAGUGAGUGAGUGAGAGAGAGAAGAAAGGAGAGAGCGCACACACGUGCAAGGAAACGCGACACAAGUCCAUACGCACCCAAACACGCCAAACAUCUCCCGAUCUGAAUGGAAAGUCCAGUGUAGGUUACCGGUGACCCACGCGGCACGAAACGUGUUAACAAUGUGCAAGCUUGUCAGGUGCACGAUGUACGUUCUUUUUCUUUAACGAAAAGAAGGCGCGAUGGCUGACGAUUGCAUUCGCCAUCCACUACGAUCUUCUCCCACUACUAGCACUUUCUGUCCUCCUACUCUGAUGCCAGUUGGGCCACCUCUUUCUGAAAAUGAUGUACCGUCACCGAUCAUUGGAUGCAACUGAAAUCAAGGCUAUCGAUUGGAUGCCUUGGAUUGGACCUCUAACGCUCACCUAGGAAUGUCGCGACCUCGUGUGGAGAUGCAGAUUAACGUAAUCUCCGUACGCAUUAUCGGAUCGCGAUCGGCGACGCCUUCGAAUUGCUCUAUACGAAGGAUUUAUGUUAAUUCUAAAUAACCUUCGCUGAAAUUAACCGUUUUGCGUAACGUUUAAAGAUUUUUCCCCGACUGAGAGGGAGCCUUCAAUGCAAUCAAUUUUUUGUCCAGAUCUCACAAUUAGAAGUAAACACGUACGAUAUAUCAAUAUUAUA